GUAGGGGGAACCGCAUGGCCAGUGGCCAGAGAAAAUUUUCCCAUAAUUCCCUUGGGCUUGGACUCAGGCUAUUGUAGAAUCUAUAGAAUGGGCACUCUGUGGCCAAAGUUCUGGGCUCUUGUUCCUUAUCCACUCCUGGCUGUGUGAAUUUGGGCAAGUCUGUAAUCUCUCUGAAUCACACUUUCCCAGAGAGGAUCACCUGUACCUCCCAGGUGUGUGGUGAGGAUGAAGGAGAAUGUGUCUGUAAAGCUACUGGAGGAGAAAUCCUGAAUAAAAACGCUGUUGCCAUAACAAUGCUCUCUGUCAGGGCCUGGUUGGGAUCACAAAGAUGAUACAGGAUUUUAGAGGAAGCUUUAAGACCCCCAAUGAAGUCACAGACUGAGAAAGUCUGGAUGAGGGAGCCUGACUGCAGCUGAAGAACAUCAGGUACUUGGAGAAGAGAAUCACUGGGCAGUGGAGAGUGAAUGUGGACCGGAAGAGUCCCAAAGGCAGCCUGAGCUCUGUUAGCUACAGUAUAGGACCGACCUUGGUUCUGAGACUCAGGGGAGGGAAGGAAGCACUUAGGCCACAUUAGUACAUAUCGACCCAGAGCCCUAGGCAGGAGCAGGAGUGGGUGAAAUUUUAGGCCUGAGUAUAUAUAUUUCCAGGCCAGAUAAAGAUAUCACCCUACUCCUCUCCACUCCCUUUUCCUCCUUGUCUCCACCCCCCUGUUCUGGAAAUAUAAAGCAGAAAGCCAUCAGUUGUGAAGAGGAAAGCAGCUAGGUCUCUGGAAUGGGAAGGUUGGGCUAGAGUUUGGGGGCUAGAUGACUUCUAAAGUCCCUUUCCAACUCAGAUGCUAUGAUUCUAUGAACCCUGGGAAGGAGGACUAUGAUCAUGCUCACAAACUGUUUGUUCACUACCCCCAGACAGAAGAUUUAAAAAAGGGGAGAGAGACAAGAGAAAGAGAAACAAGAGUCACACAGAGAGAAGAGAGUCAGAGAUUCAGAAAGAGACAGAGACAGAGAGACAGAGAAGGAAAGAAAGAAGCAAAUGGAACUCUAGAGCUCAGACCAAGGAGCCAAUUAGAAAGGAAGGGAUUUUUAAGAGGCCCUGGCUUAGAGCAUAAAAUCAAAUGGAUGGAGGUUUUGAGCUGUCACCUAGUCCAGACUCCUGCCUCGACAUACAAUGAAAACAGACAGCUGAAUUUCUGCUUUGCUUUUAAAGAACUCUGGAAAUUGAUAACCUGCCCCAGUGAUCAAUUCUUAUUGCUGAAUGGAACACCAUCCUUGGUAGUUGCUCAACAUAGUCAAACUGGUAGCUGCGCAAUGGGUCAUGAAGAGUAACCAAUCCUGUUCCUCUGCCCAGUUGUUAGAGAAGCAAGAUGGGGAAGACCUGUUCUUGAACCAAUCAAGUAUCUCCCUUCUUUGUUCAUAAGCUAACUGCUCCCAGGGAUUCAAUUCUUCUCCAUUUGAGGCUUUAUUUGGGAGACAUUGUUUUAAUACAGUCACUCACGCACUUUUAUCCUUGGCAAGACUUUUUUUUCCUCUAAUAGAGGAGCAGAAGGAAGGGGGU
This is a long non-coding RNA of Monodelphis domestica (gray short-tailed opossum), 1551 nucleotides long. The record is from Ensembl. NCBI's taxonomy places the organism in Eukaryota, Metazoa, Chordata, Mammalia, Didelphimorphia, Didelphidae.